UGGGGAAUAUUGCACAAUGGGCGCAAGCCUGAUGCAGCCAUGCCGCGUGUAUGAAGAAGGCCUUCGGGUUGUAAAGUACUUUCAGCGGGGAGGAAGGGAGUAAAGUUAAUACCUUUGCUCAUUGACGUUACCCGCAGAAGAAGCACCGGCUAACUCCGUGCCAGCAGCCGCGGUAAUACGGAGGGUGCAAGCGUUAAUCGGAAUUACUGGGCGUAAAGCGCACGCAGGCGGUUUGUUAAGUCAGAUGUGAACUCCCCGGGCUCAACCUGGGAACUGCAUCUGAUACUGGCAAGCUUGAGUCUCGUAGAGGGGGGUAGAAUUCCAGGUGUAGCGGUGAAAUGCGUAGAGAUCUGGAGGAAUACCGGUGGCGAAGGCGGCCCCCUGGACGAAGACUGACGCUCAGGUGCGAAAGCGUGGGGAGCAAACAGG
This 429-nucleotide ribosomal RNA is filed under the name Chloroflexota bacterium. Its description in RNAcentral is "Chloroflexi bacterium partial 16S ribosomal RNA". It matches the Rfam family "Bacterial small subunit ribosomal RNA", at positions 355 to 776 of the family's 1533-position model. The record is from RNAcentral. Lineage: Bacteria; Bacillati; Chloroflexota.